This 486-nucleotide ribosomal RNA is filed under the name uncultured bacterium. Its description in RNAcentral is "partial 16S ribosomal RNA". It matches the Rfam family "Bacterial small subunit ribosomal RNA", at positions 30 to 507 of the family's 1533-position model. The record is from RNAcentral.
AUUGAACGCUGGCGGCAUGCCUUACACAUGCAAGUCGAACGGCAGCACGGGUGCUUGCACCUGGUGGCGAGUGGCGAACGGGUGAGUAAUACAUCGGAACAUGUCCUGUAGUGGGGGAUAGCCCGUCGAAAGCCGGAUUAAUACCGCAUACGAUCUACGGAUGAAAGCGGGGGCCCUUCGGGCCUCGCGCUAUAGGGUUGGCCGAUGGCUGAUUAGCUAGUUGGUGGGGUAAAGGCCUACCAAGGCGACGAUCAGUAGCUGGUCUGAGAGGACGACCAGCCACACUGGGACUGAGACACGGCCCAGACUCCUACGGGAGGCAGCAGUGGGGAAUUUUGGACAAUGGGCGAAAGCCUGAUCCAGCAAUGCCGCGUGUGUGAAGAAGGCCUUCGGGUUGUAAAGCACUGUUGUCCGGAAAGAAAUCCUUGGCUCUAAUACAGUCGGGUGAUGACGGUACCGGAAGAAUAAGCACCGGCUAACUACGUG